Micropterus dolomieu (smallmouth bass) is the source of this 1595-nucleotide long non-coding RNA. RefSeq lists it as uncharacterized. The record is from RefSeq and is a predicted model, not a curated record. The transcript has 4 exons. Lineage: Eukaryota; Metazoa; Chordata; Actinopteri; Centrarchiformes; Centrarchidae.
GUCAACGUGGCGGGGCUGACGGUGGAGUGGUCGAAGCCCGACCUCAAGCCAGACCCCAAUGAUCGGCUGAGCCGGUUUGAAUAUGUGCAUGUUUACCGGGACAGCCGUGAGGUCCUGGACAUGAAGCUGUCAUCGUACAUCAGCAGGACGGCGCUGUUCACAGAUGGCCUGAGACAAGGCAACAUAUCGCUCAAGAUCAUUAAUGUGACGCUUGCAGACGAAGCGAGAUACAAAUGUUACAUCCCGAAGUUAAAAAGCCGAAGGCAGUCGUCAAUAGUCCGUCUGGUCAUUGAGUCAAACUCAUCCAAAGCCUGGACAACAGAGACACUGGACACUGCAGCCCAAAAGUCUCCAAAAUUCUGAUCCGAAGAAAGAGACAGAUGAUAAAGGUGAUGUGUUCAGUUGGAACAGUCUGAUCCUAGUUUUGGUUCUUUCUGGCAUCUUACUAAUCAUGGGAUUAGGAUUGAGAGCAUCAAAAACAAUAAGUACGUCCGAUGUAUUUAACUAAUGGCUUGUAAUGGUGUCUUCUGUCUAGUUGCCUUGCCCAAGUGCACUUUGGGAGACACUGUCUGAAUCCCAACAUCCACACUUACAGACUCACAAAAUCAUGUGCACAUGUGUACUUUUUGAGCCCUUCAUACACACUUUCCAUAGGUCCGCAUUCCCACGUUUAACCUCAAACACAGGGUUUCCAGGGGAAACUGGUGUUAAAAAAGAUAAACAAACAUGGAAGGAACAACCAAAAGCAAAAAGAAGUUUACAUGUAAGUGUACGAGGCUGAUAUUUGAAAAUGACCUCUGGUCCACUCUGUAAGGCAGGAUCCUGGAGUAAGUUCAAAUCAGGCAGACAGUCUCUUCAGUGUCUUUGCUGUGAAGUAAGUAAAAAAAAAAUAAAAACCCACAAUUGUUUUGGAAUAUUCAAGGUAACGUGAUGUGUUGCUAAGUGCAAUGCUGUUCCAUUAUACGAUUUUGGGCCCUUGCAACUGGUUCAGGGCUUUAGGGUUGAGAUGGAGAGUGAAAAGAGCACCAUUUAUCUCGCCUGGUUGCCCUGAUUUGAUGACAGUGUUUUAAAUUAUUCGAUCAAGUGACAUCUGGAGAAUUUAAAUACUAAAUGUGAGAUCCACAAAGAAGCAUUUCAUCUAUAUUUACAUAACUUUUGUAUUGGAGAUGAAACCAAUCGAACAUGUGACCUGUCUUUGCCUGCAGAUGUUUGGACAUUUAAAUCCUAAAUAAUCCUCAAAGGUUUUAUUUUUAUAUUUUUGAAGGUUGGUCUUUUCUUUGGUUAAGCAUUGUUCUUUUGCUCUUAAAGAUUUAACUGCAUGUUGUUAAUUUUGCGCUUCAGUAAGUGUUUACUAUUCAGAUGGUAAAUUCUACCUGUUGUGUUGUGUUUUGAUUGGGCUAGUAUAAAGCACAUUUGCGAAUGAUUGCAGUGUGUUUAUAUCAUGUGAGCUGUGAAUAUGAGCUGACCUUACAUUAAUUGCCAAUCUUUAGGAAACACCCCCUCGUCUCUUCUUUUAUAAUAAAUAAUAUAAUAUAAAAGCAACAAGGUUGAGCCUUAUAGCUCAUUGUCUUCAUGAGAAUCAGAAAGGCUUUAAC